GCAACUGGCAAAGGGAGAAUGUGUUACUACGUUACCCCAAGAAAGGAACAAAAUUGCACUAAAACACAACACAAAGAAAGCAAAUUUUAAUCAGUUGAACCAAAAGAUAAUCGAUGAAAGACUAAACAAAGUUUAAACGGUAAGCACAAAAAAAACCACCUGGGAUGCAAUGCCGGAAGAGAGAAAAAGAAGAGGAGGAAGACGAUAAAGAUAUCAGAAACAAUAAUGCAAUGCCGUAAGAGAGAAACAAGAGAAAAAGGAAAAGAGAGGAAGACGAUAUCAGAAACUGAAUGCCGUGAAGAGUCUGCGGUUUAUUUAAAAUGAAAUGGAGCGUCGAUUGCUUACGAAACCGACGUCUAUAGUCACCUAGACGUCAGUUCUCUAACUAAUUCGAUGACCAAGUUAACAUUUAAACUGACUUUUUGAAUGCCCAUUAGACGUCGGUUUAAGGG
RNAcentral lists this long non-coding RNA (452 nucleotides) under Vigna radiata. RNAcentral describes it as "long non-coding RNA (VRAD_LNC016197)". Lineage: Eukaryota; Viridiplantae; Streptophyta; Magnoliopsida; Fabales; Fabaceae. The record is from RNAcentral.